This 497-nucleotide ribosomal RNA is filed under the name uncultured bacterium. RNAcentral describes it as "partial 16S ribosomal RNA". It matches the Rfam family "Bacterial small subunit ribosomal RNA", at positions 28 to 507 of the family's 1533-position model. The record is from RNAcentral.
GAUGAACGCUGGCGGCGUGCCUAAUACAUGCAAGUCGAGCGAACGGACGAGAAGCUUGCUUCUCUGAUGUUAGCGGCGGACGGGUGAGUAACACGUGGAUAACAUACCUAUAAGACUGGGAUAACUUCGGGAAACCGGAGCUAAUACCGGAUGAUAUUUUGAACCGCAUGGUUCAAAAGUGAAAGACGGUCUUGCUGUCACUUAUAGAUGGAUCCGCGCUGCAUUAGCUAGUUGGUAAGGUAACGGCUUACCAAGGCAACGAUGCAUAGCCGACCUGAGAGGGUGAUCGGCCACACUGGAACUGAGACACGGUCCAGACUCCUACGGGAGGCAGCAGUAGGGAAUCUUCCGCAAUGGGCGAAAGCCUGACGGAGCAACGCCGCGUGAGUGAUGAAGGUCUUCGGAUCGUAAAACUCUGUUAUUAGGGAAGAACAUAUGUGUAAGUAACUGUGCACAUCUUGACGGUACCUAAUCAGAAAGCCACGGCUAACUACGUG